GCAGAAGUAGUUCAGUGGUAGAAUACAACCUUGCCAAGGUUGGGGUCGCGGGUUCGAAUCCCGUCUUCCGCUCCA
RNAcentral lists this transfer RNA (75 nucleotides) under Bacillus cereus. RNAcentral's name for it is "tRNA-Gly". It matches the Rfam family "tRNA". From Rfam's summary of the family: Transfer RNA (tRNA) molecules are approximately 80 nucleotides in length. Their secondary structure includes four short double-helical elements and three loops (D, anti-codon, and T loops). Further hydrogen bonds mediate the characteristic L-shaped molecular structure. tRNAs have two regions of fundamental functional importance: the anti-codon, which is responsible for specific mRNA codon recognition, and the 3' end, to which the tRNAs corresponding amino acid is attached (by aminoacyl-tRNA synthetases). tRNAs cope with the degeneracy of the genetic code in two manners: having more than one tRNA (with a specific anti-codon) for a particular amino acid; and 'wobble' base-pairing, i.e. permitting non-standard base-pairing at the 3rd anti-codon position. Lineage: Bacteria; Bacillati; Bacillota; Bacilli; Caryophanales; Bacillaceae. The record is from RNAcentral.